This 328-nucleotide ribosomal RNA is filed under the name Capilloventer australis. RNAcentral describes it as "eukaryotic LSU rRNA". It matches the Rfam family "Eukaryotic large subunit ribosomal RNA", at positions 42 to 365 of the family's 3401-position model. Lineage: Eukaryota; Metazoa; Annelida; Clitellata; Capilloventrida; Capilloventridae. The record is from RNAcentral.
AUUACUAAGCGGAGGAAAAGAAACUAACAAGGAUUCCCCUAGUAACGGCGAGUGAAGCGGGAAGAGCCCAGCACCGAAUCCCCCGGUCGCAAGGCCGGCGGGAACUGUGGUGUUUAGGACGGUCGCCGCGGAGCGGUCGGGAGUCGGAGUCCUCCUGAUCGGGGCUACCCAGAGCGGGUGUCAGGCCCAUACGGCGCCCGGCCGUGCCGCAUAGAUCGUCCUUGGAGUCGGGUUGUUUGAGAAUGCAGCCCAAAGCGGGUGGUAAACUCCAUCUAAGGCUAAAUACAGACACGAGUCCGAUAGCAAACAAGUACCGUGAGGGAAAGUU